UUAAGUUAUUAAGGGCGCACGGUGGAUGCCUUGGCACUAGAAGCCGAUGAAGGACGUUACUAACGACGAUAUGCUUUGGGGAGCUGUAAGUAAGCUUUGAUCCAGAGAUUUCCGAAUGGGGAAACCCAGCAUGAGUUAUGUCAUGUUAUCGAUAUGUGAAUACAUAGCAUAUCAGAAGGCACACCCGGAGAACUGAAACAUCUUAGUACCCGGAGGAAGAGAAAGAAAAUUCGAUUCCCUUAGUAGCGGCGAGCGAAACGGGAAGAGCCCAAACCAACAAGCUUGCUUGUUGGGGUUGUAGGACACUCUAUACGGAGUUACAAAGGACGACAUUAGACGAAUCAUCUGGAAAGAUGAAUCAAAGAAGGUAAUAAUCCUGUAGUCGAAAAUGUUGUCUCUCUUGAGUGGAUCCUGAGUACGACGGAGCACGUGAAAUUCCGUCGGAAUCUGGGAGGACCAUCUCCUAAGGCUAAAUACUCUCUAGUGACCGAUAGUGAACCAGUACCGUGAGGGAAAGGUGAAAAGCACCCCGGAAGGGGAGUGAAAUAGAACCUGAAACCGUGUGCUUACAAGUAGUCAGAGCCCGUUAAUGGGUGAUGGCGUGCCUUUUGUAGAAUGAACCGGCGAGUUACGAUUUGAUGCAAGGUUAAGCAGUAAAUGUGGAGCCGUAGCGAAAGCGAGUCUGAAUAGGGCGUUUAGUAUUUGGUCGUAGACCCGAAACCAGGUGAUCUACCCUUGGUCAGGUUGAAGUUCAGGUAACACUGAAUGGAGGACCGAACCGACUUACGUUGAAAAGUGAGCGGAUGAACUGAGGGUAGCGGAGAAAUUCCAAUCGAACCUGGAGAUAGCUGGUUCUCUCCGAAAUAGCUUUAGGGCUAGCCUCAAGUGAUGAUUAUUGGAGGUAGAGCACUGUUUGGACGAGGGGCCCCUCUCGGGUUACCGAAUUCAGACAAACUCCGAAUGCCAAUUAAUUUAACUUGGGAGUCAGAACAUGGGUGAUAAGGUCCGUGUUCGAAAGGGAAACAGCCCAGACCACCAGCUAAGGUCCCAAAAUAUAUGUUAAGUGGAAAAGGAUGUGGCGUUGCCCAGACAACUAGGAUGUUGGCUUAGAAGCAGCCAUCAUUUAAAGAGUGCGUAAUAGCUCACUAGUCGAGUGACACUGCGCCGAAAAUGUACCGGGGCUAAACAUAUUACCGAAGCUGUGGAUUGUCCUUUGGACAAUGGUAGGAGAGCGUUCUAAGGGCGUUGAAGCAUGAUCGUAAGGACAUGUGGAGCGCUUAGAAGUGAGAAUGCCGGUGUGAGUAGCGAAAGACGGGUGAGAAUCCCGUCCACCGAUUGACUAAGGUUUCCAGAGGAAGGCUCGUCCGCUCUGGGUUAGUCGGGUCCUAAGCUGAGGCCGACAGGCGUAGGCGAUGGAUAACAGGUUGAUAUUCCUGUACCACCUAUAAUCGUUUUAAUCGAUGGGGGGACGCAGUAGGAUAGGCGAAGCGUGCGAUUGGAUUGCACGUCUAAGCAGUAAGGCUGAGUAUUAGGCAAAUCCGGUUCCUCGUUAAGGCUGAGCUGUGAUGGGGAGAAGACAUUGUGUCUUCGAGUCGUUGAUUUCACACUGCCGAGAAAAGCCUCUAGAUAGAAAAUAGGUGCCCGUACCGCAAACCGACACAGGUAGUCAAGAUGAGAAUUCUAAGGUGAGCGAGCGAACUCUCGUUAAGGAACUCGGCAAAAUGACCCCGUAACUUCGGGAGAAGGGGUGCUCUUUAGGGUUAACGCCCAGAAGAGCCGCAGUGAAUAGGCCCAAGCGACUGUUUAUCAAAAACACAGGUCUCUGCUAAACCGUAAGGUGAUGUAUAGGGGCUGACGCCUGCCCGGUGCUGGAAGGUUAAGAGGAGUGGUUAGCUUCUGCGAAGCUACGAAUCGAAGCCCCAGUAAACGGCGGCCGUAACUAUAACGGUCCUAAGGUAGCGAAAUUCCUUGUCGGGUAAGUUCCGACCCGCACGAAAGGCGUAACGAUUUGGGCACUGUCUCAACGAGAGACUCGGUGAAAUCAUAGUACCUGUGAAGAUGCAGGUUACCCGCGACAGGACGGAAAGACCCCGUGGAGCUUUACUGUAGCCUGAUAUUGAAAUUCGGCACAGCUUGUACAGGAUAGGUAGGAGCCUUUGAAACGUGAGCGCUAGCUUACGUGGAGGCGCUGGAGGGAAACUACCCUAGCUGUGUUGGCUUUCUAACCCGCACCACUUAUCGUGGUGGGAGACAGUGUCAGGCGGGCAGUUUGACUGGGGCGGUCGCCUCCUAAAAGGUAACGGAGGCGCUCAAAGGUUCCCUCAGAAUGGUUGGAAAUCAUUCAUAGAGUGUAAAGGCAUAAGGGAGCUUGACUGUGAGACCUACAAGUCGAGCAGGGUCGAAAGACGGACUUAGUGAUCCGGUGGUUCCGCAUGGAAGGGCCAUCGCUCAACGGAUAAAAGCUACCCCGGGGAUAACAGGCUUAUCUCACCCAAGAGUUCACAUCGACGGGGAGGUUUGGCACCUCGAUGUCGGCUCAUCGCAUCCUGGGGCUGUAGUCGGUCCCAAGGGUUGGGCUGUUCGCCCAUUAAAGCGGUACGCGAGCUGGGUUCAGAACGUCGUGAGACAGUUCGGUCCCUAUCCGUCGUGGGCGUAGGAAAUUUGAGAGGAGCUGUCCUUAGUACGAGAGGACCGGGAUGGACAUACCUCUGGUGUACCAGUUGUCGUGCCAACGGCAUAGCUGGGUAGCUAUGUGUGGACGGGAUAAGUGCUGAAAGCAUCUAAGCAUGAAGCCCCCCUCAAGAUGAGAUUUCCCAACUUCGGUUAUAAGAUCCCUCAAAGAUGAUGAGGUUAAUAGGUUCGAGGUGGAAGCAUGGUGACAUGUGGAGCUGACGAAUACUAAUCGAUCGAAGACUUAAUCAA
RNAcentral lists this ribosomal RNA (2922 nucleotides) under Staphylococcus aureus. Its description in RNAcentral is "bacterial LSU rRNA". It matches the Rfam family "Bacterial large subunit ribosomal RNA". Lineage: Bacteria; Bacillati; Bacillota; Bacilli; Caryophanales; Staphylococcaceae. The record is from RNAcentral.